This 1857-nucleotide ribosomal RNA is filed under the name Triticum aestivum (bread wheat). RNAcentral's name for it is "partial small subunit ribosomal RNA". The record is from RNAcentral. Lineage: Eukaryota; Viridiplantae; Streptophyta; Magnoliopsida; Poales; Poaceae.
AUGGUUCUCCUGCCAAAAUGUGCUAGCUCUCAAUCUGCAGACGCGUUUCGACCGAUCGCCCUUCAGAACUGCCCGAUCAAAGGCAUUGCAAAAGUUCUCACCAACAGAUUAAAACCUUUCAUCCCUUCACUAGUCCACGGCGAUCAGACUGGCUUCAUCUCAGGGAGAUGCAUUGCAGAGAAUUUCGUGUACGCCGCCGAUCUCAUAAACACAUGCCACAAGCGAAAAAGCAAAACGAUGGUACUGAAACUAGACGUCAGAAAAGCCUUCGAUUCUGUGUCAUGGCACGCCCUCCUGCUAAUUCUGCAACAUCGGGGUUUUCCCCCAUGCUUCUGCUCUUGGAUAAGCGAUCUUCUCAACACUGGGAAAACUGCUGUAAUGCUAUACGGUGUGCUAGGUGACUGGAUCAAGUGCAAGAAUGGCCUGCGUCAGGGUGACCCCAUGUCCCCUUAUCUCUUCCUCAUUGUGGCUGAUGUUCUCCAACAACUCAUUCUAACAACGGCCUCAUCCUCUCCUGACCUACGCCACCCCAUCUACCCUGACCUCCCCCCUGCCGUCCUACAAUACGCAAACGAUACGCUAAUUAUAGCUCACGCUUCAUCUAACUCAGCCGUUUCCCUUCGAUCUAUCCUAGAUCAGUUCGCUCAAGCUACAGGACUGCGAAUUAACUUCUCCAAAACAACCUUCGUCCCCAUGAAUCUCGAUGACGCGACCUCUCUUGAGAUCGCACAAGUCCUGGACUGCGCAGUGUCCUGUUUUCCUCAAACUUACUUAGGCCUACCUUUAUCCCCUGUCAAACUCACUGCCGCAGCCUUCCAGCCUAUCAUCACAAACUGUGUUAACUACCUUCCUGGAUGGUGUGCUAAACUACUUUCUUGCCCGGGCUGCCUGGUCCUCAUCUCCUCCGUGCUUGACUCGCUGGCCACCUAUUUCAUGUCCGUGUUCAAACUGCCAAAAGAAAUACUAAAGAAGCUCGACGCUAUUAGACGGGCGUUUUUUGGGGCUGCGGAUGAGUCCUGUUCAGGUGCUCGGUGUCUUAUUGCUUGGUCUAACAUAUGUAAACCAAAAGAGUUCGGUGGUCUAGGCAUCAAAAAUUUAGCUUUACAAAAUGACUGCUUGCUUAUGAAGUUUGCCUAUAAAUUCCUAGCAGCCAAUUCUCACCAAGAGUUACCUUGGAUAUCAUGGCUAAACAGAGUACACUUACACAGCAUCCCCCACAUUGCCUCUUGCAACAAUCCCUCCUACCUAACUAAAGCUGUGCAAGCACAAUUAGCUACACUAUCCUCUAUCACCUUCGUCCUCACUAACAACGGGUUGAGGACCUUUUUUUGGCACGACACCUGGCUUGCUCAUGCACCCCUAGCUAUGCUUUUCCCUAGCCUAUACUCCCACUCCUCCGACAAACACAUCCUAGUCUUUCAUGCAAUACAGUACGGGCUACGAACGAACCUAACAGAUCGGCUAACCUCGGCCGCCUCGCGCGAGCUGGAUCAAGUUUUGUUGUUGCUGCAGGAUUUCUCCUUAUCCACAAACCCCGACGAGAGGCACCUCAUCCACGGCACAGCUUUUUCUUCUAAAGCUGCCUACAAGCUCCUCACACAGGAGGAUCAUGAGAUCGCACAUGCCCCUUUAAUUUGGCGCUCCAAGGCUCACCCUAAGUUGAAGCUCUUUGCUUGGUUGCUUUUUCAUGGACGUCUAAAUACUAAAGCAAACCUGUUCCAUAAGCACAUUGGUCCUGACGCAAAGUGCCCCAGGUGCCCUGCCAGCUCUGAAGACACUAACCAUCUCUUCCUCCGAUGCCCCAAAGCAAACCUCGUAUGGUUGCAGCUAGGAAUCGUCCCGACAGACAGUCUGUAG